CCUACGGGAGGCAGCAGUGGGGAAUAUUGGACAAUGGGCGAAAGCCUGAUCCAGCAAUUCCGCGUGUGUGAAGAAGGCCUUCGGGUUGUAAAGCACUUUAGUGGGGGAAGAAACAGCUUGGCCACACCAAGCCUUGACGGUACCCCAAGAAUAAGCACCGGCUAACUCUGUGCCAGCAGCCGCGGUAAUACAGAGGGUGCAAGCGUUAAUCGGAUUUACUGGGCGUAAAGGGUGCGUAGGUGGCUAUUUAAGUCGGAUGUGAAAGCCCGGGGCUCAACCUCGGAAUUGCAUUCGAUACUGAGUGGCUAGAGUUCGGUAGAGGGCGGCGGAAUUUCCGGUGUAGCGGUGAAAUGCGUAGAUAUCGGAAGGAACAUCAAUGGCGAAGGCAGCCGCCUGGGCCUGGACUGACACUGAGGCACGAAAGCGUGGGUAGCAAACAGGAUUAGAUACCCUGGUAGUCCACGCCGUAAACGAUGAGAACUUGACGUUGGUUCGUUUUACGAAUCGGUGUCGCNGCUACGCGAUAAGUUACUCCGUCCGUGGGAGGUACGGCCGCGAGGUUAGAACGUACGAAAGAAGUAGACGGCGUGAGAGUGCCGACGGACGACGACGAGGGAGGUUAGG
Molecule: ribosomal RNA, 624 nt
Filed under: uncultured bacterium
Lineage: Bacteria
Description: bacterial SSU rRNA
Rfam family: Bacterial small subunit ribosomal RNA (bases 1-538)
Source: RNAcentral